AGAGUUUGAUCAUGGCUCAGGAUGAACGCUGGCGGCGUGCCUAAUACAUGCAAGUCGAGCGAACUAAUUAGAAGCUUGCUUCUAUGACGUUAGCGGCGGACGGGUGAGUAACACGUGGGCAACCUGCCUGUAAGACUGGGAUAACUUCGGGAAACCGAAGCUAAUACCGGAUAGGAUCUUCUCCUUCAUGGGAGAUGAUUGAAAGAUGGUUUCGGCUAUCACUUACAGAUGGGCCCGCGGUGCAUUAGCUAGUUGGUGAGGUAACGGCUCACCAAGGCAACGAUGCAUAGCCGACCUGAGAGGGUGAUCGGCCACACUGGGACUGAGACACGGUCCAGACUCCUACGGGAGGCAGCAGUAGGGAAUCUUCCGCAAUGGACGACAGUCUGACGGAGCAACGCCGCGUGAGUGAUGAAGGUUUUCGGAUCGUAAAACUCUGUUGUCAGGGAAGAACAAGUACCGGAGUAACUGCCGGUACCUUGACGGUACCUGACCAGAAAGCCACGGCUAACUACGUGCCAGCAGCCGCGGUAAUACGUAGGUGGCAAGCGUUGUCCGGAAUUAUUGGGCGUAAAGCGCGCGCAGGCGGUUCCUUAAGUCUGAUGUGAAAGCCCCCGGCUCAACCGGGGAGGGUCA
Molecule: ribosomal RNA, 636 nt
Filed under: uncultured marine bacterium
Lineage: Bacteria
Description: bacterial SSU rRNA
Rfam family: Bacterial small subunit ribosomal RNA
Source: RNAcentral